CCUACGGGGGGCAGCAGUGAGGAAUAUUGGUCAAUGGACGAGAGUCUGAACCAGCCAAGUAGCGUGAAGGAUGACUGCCCUAUGGGUUGUAAACUUCUUUUAUAAAGGAAUAAAACGAGGCACGUGUGCCUUUUUGCAUGUACUUUAUGAAUAAGGAUCGGCUAACUCCGUGCCAGCAGCCGCGGUAAUACGGAGGAUCCGAGCGUUAUCCGGCUUUAUUGGGUUUAAAGGGAGCGUAGAUGGGUUGUUAAGUCAGUUGUGAAAGUUUGCGGCGCAACCGUAAAAUUGCAAUUGAUACUGGCAGUCGUGAGUACAGUUGAGGUAGGCGGAAUUCGUGGUGUAGCGGUGAAAUGCUUAGAUAUCACGAAGAACCCCGAUUGCGAAGGCAGCUUACUAAACUGUGACUGACAUUGAUGCUCGAAAGUGUGGGUAUCAAACAGGAUUAGAUACCCUAGUAGUC
RNAcentral lists this ribosomal RNA (460 nucleotides) under uncultured bacterium. RNAcentral's name for it is "partial 16S ribosomal RNA". It matches the Rfam family "Bacterial small subunit ribosomal RNA", at positions 338 to 795 of the family's 1533-position model. The record is from RNAcentral.